GAAAAGAAACUAACAAGGAUUCCCCUAGUAACGGCGAGUGAAGAGGGAAGAGCUCAAAUUUGAAAGCUGGUACCUUCGGUAUCCGCGUUGUAACCUCGAGACACGUUUUCCGUGCGGCGCUAUGGACAAGUUCCUUGGAACAGGACAUCGUAGAGGGUGAAAAUCCCGUACUUGCCAUGGAUGUACCGUGCUUUGCGAUACGUGCUCUAAGAGUCGAGUUGUUUGGGAUUGCAGCUCAAAAUGGGUGGUAGACUCCAUCUAAAGCUAAAUAUCGGGGAGAGACCGAUAGCGAACAAGUACCGUGAGGGAAAGAUGAAAAGCACUUUGGAAAGAGAGUUAAAAGUACGUGAAAUUGUCGAAAGGGAAGCGCUUGAAGUCAGCCAUGCCGCUCAGGACUCAGCCUGGCUUUUGCUUGGUGUAUUUCCUGGGUAGCAAGUCAGCAUUGGUUUGGAUCGUCGGAGAAGCAUAGUCGGAAUGUGGCGCCCUCGGGCGUGUUAUAGCCUUCUAUUGGAUACGACGAUCUAGACCAAGGAACGCAGCGCGCCUUAUGGCGGGUCUUCGGACACCUUCGCGCUUAGGAUGCUGGCGUAAUGGCUUUAAGUGG
Molecule: ribosomal RNA, 604 nt
Filed under: Malassezia furfur
Lineage: Eukaryota; Fungi; Basidiomycota; Malasseziomycetes; Malasseziales; Malasseziaceae
Description: eukaryotic LSU rRNA
Rfam family: Eukaryotic large subunit ribosomal RNA
Source: RNAcentral